Drosophila montana is the source of this 368-nucleotide long non-coding RNA. RefSeq lists it as uncharacterized. The transcript has 2 exons. Lineage: Eukaryota; Metazoa; Arthropoda; Insecta; Diptera; Drosophilidae. The record is from RefSeq and is a predicted model, not a curated record.
GUACGGGGACAACUGAUAAGUUGUGAAACGGGGCAGAUAAGAUAGUGGCUGAGACGAAAUCUAAGCAAAUAAGUGCAAAGCCAAAGAUAUCGAAAAUGUCGAAAGCACCAGGCCAUGCUUAUCGAGGCAUUCCGAAAAUCGAAAACUGUUUGCUCGAAAGUGCAAUAAAAGUGUUGCGUAUCCUUCCGCUGUUGCAUCUGUCCGGGUCCAGGCGGAAAGGAGCGUUGAGCAUUGCGUUUUAUGACUUGGUUUUAUGGCUCCGAUUAUUCCUUUCAAUACUUUGUUGUGGCUCAUUAAGUGGGCUGUGCAGUUGCUUGAUAUGGUAAUUGAAUUUAAAUAUACUUAUGACUUAUAUUGCAUAAUGAAAA